AACGACUCUCGGCAACGGAUAUCUCGGCUCUCGCAUCGAUGAAGAACGUAGCGAAAUGCGAUACUUGGUGUGAAUUGCAGAAUCCCGUGAACCAUCGAGUCUUUGAACGCAAGUUGCGCCCUAAGCCGUCAGGCCGAGGGCACGUCUGCCUGGGUGUCACGCAU
RNAcentral lists this ribosomal RNA (164 nucleotides) under Crinodendron hookerianum. RNAcentral's name for it is "5.8S ribosomal RNA". It matches the Rfam family "5.8S ribosomal RNA". Rfam says of the family: 5.8S ribosomal RNA (5.8S rRNA) is a component of the large subunit of the eukaryotic ribosome. It is transcribed by RNA polymerase I as part of the 45S precursor that also contains 18S and 28S rRNA. Lineage: Eukaryota; Viridiplantae; Streptophyta; Magnoliopsida; Oxalidales; Elaeocarpaceae. The record is from RNAcentral.